GUUAUUUUAAGCAUAUUUAAUAUUUGAACUUUCAUUUUCUAUUUUCCCAGACCCCAGAAAACAGAAAGUUUUUAGAUGACCAAUAUUUUGUUCCAGAAACAUAGUCUUAUCAGCUAAUUCAUAAAAGAGCUAUUUUACAAAGGUACAUCUGGAUAAUUAGAACAAUAAAGUCUUUUAGGCAUUUCAAAAUGUGAUCAGUAAAAAUACAUGAUUAUUAAUAAAGUUUUUUUUUUAAAGAUAGUUCCAGAUUUUUUUAAAAGUAAUUUCUGUUAAAGAGUACAUGAUUGUAUGGUGAACAAGGAAAAUAAAAUGUUCUAGUAGGAAGAGGCUUAUUAAAAAUAACCAAUAGUGUGCACAUUACAGUUAUCACUUUUGCAGGACAUCUGCUUAGCCAUUGGCACCCGGAAAUGGCAGACAGGGCUUCCUUCUACGAGGUACAUUUUUUUUUUCUACCAAUUUAUUAUCAAAACCAUCAGUACCAGUGGGGAAGGUGUAAGGAACGAGGCAAAAGAAACUCCUUUCUUGAAGAAAGAACAAUUUUGCAGAUCACUGAAAAGGCGUGGACCUGUCAGAAGAAAACAUGGUUUAUCAAACAAAGACUUUAACAGUAGAGGCGAAAAAACUAGCCAGCAGAAAGAGGACUAGAAGGUCCUGCCAAUUUUCUAUCUUGAGGUCCUCUGUACACACUUCUCAGUGAUGCUCUCUGUGACACACAGGGAAGGAAAGAUUGACCAAAGUUCUAGUAGCUCAAAAUAACAUCAUAUACCACCUUCAGAGAAGACAGUUUCCAGUUUGAAAUAUAGAAGCUCCAGGUAAUACACCAAAUUUACCAGCAUCACCAAAAAAAAAAAAAAAAAAAAGAAAAGAAAAGAAAAAAAGAAAAAAGUAAGUAAAAGACAACUCAAUGGAAGCAUAAUUAUUUUCUUUAGCUUCUAAAAAGAAGGGGGGAAAAAAACUUUUCACAUUAGAUUUCCCCUCUCUCCUCCAAAAAAAACUUUUAUCUUGGGGCACCUGGCUGGCUCAGUCUGUAAAGCAUGUGACUCCUGAUCUUGAGGUUAUGAGUUUGAGCUCCUCGUUGGGUAUCGAGAUUACUUCAAAAGAAAAUCUUUACAAAAAAAUUAAAAUAAAGAGACACAUCCUAACAGUAGUCAGAAGUUGUUUUGGGGAAUGGGAAGCCAUAAAGGUAAUGAAAUGCACCUUCUUAUGGUACAAUAUAGUAAAUGGUUUCAGUUUAGGUCCUAAAAGCCGAGAGAACUCAAGCAGUCCAAGUCAGCUGAUUUUAAAGUAUGCAAAAUAUAUGGCUUCUAGGGCUGUAAUCAUGAUUUUAAAUUAUAGCACUUUGGGGGCUUGCUGAUUUGCCUUGAUUAACUCUGUUCUCUGAAAAGGAAGGAGACACUCCAAACGUAAUUUGCCACUUAAUAGCAAAGGAGCCAUUAGGCCCCCAGAAGAGAGCACAGGGUCACAGCAGGUCACUUCAGUGGCUAAAACCCAGCUCUCCUGCUCUGGGGAGGUUGCUUUGUUCACCACCCUUGGAUCCAGCUUCUCCUCCAGUUAACUAUGAGAAAACAGCUUUGAUGGGGAUCACUGUCACUCAAAACCCAGGGCGACUAUCUAAUUCCAUCAUCCUGAAAGGCAGAUAUGGUAUCAGAGCAGAGUGCAUGUGAUUCUAAAGGCCGGAAAGAAAAGGCGGGGCUGGGAAGGAGGAGGGGAGAAGUUAGGCUGGUAGGACAAAAAGAACACUCAAAAACUAGAAUCUUUUCAGACCUAAGACUUUGCUUUGGGGCUUCAUUUAAAAAUCCAGAUAUAAAUUUAUUUGGAGGUACUAGAGCUAUGGUCAAAGCAUUUUUCCAGUUAGCCCGGUUCCAAGGAGAGGUGAAAACUGUAGGAGAAGACAAGCAGAUCGUUGUUAAGGACAAGAUACUGGCGGAGCUGGAAGAGAAACCUAAACGUUCCUUAAACAAGGGCCGAAGAAUUACAUGAACUUACCCUGUGCUGUUUGAACUUAGGGUGAAAGUUCUAUUGUUUACCUUGCUCCUGAUUAAAUGCCCGCGGAUGAUGACGCUGGUGUCAGGGGGCCACAGGCGUAUCACCCUGUGAGUUGGGAGUGACUACCCCCUUUCCAGCCCCACCUAACCAUUCGGUUUCUACCUGCUUCUCUUACGAGAUACAGAAAGUCAAGUCCCAAGCUUGUCUUACUAGCUUCUGCUUCUGCUUCUAAAAUGUUUACACCCAAUUCUGAUUUCGUUCAUGCUGGGCCUGCAACUCAAAAUAUCAGUCUAAUUUAUAGAUGAGGUCCAACGAAUGGUCCAAGUUGGUCUACUUAAAAACACAGGUCAGACUUGAAAAGGCAGGAAAUAGGAAUGUGGACAGAGAUGAGCUUGUCAAGUCGUAGUGGUGUUUACAGGAGGAGUAGGGAAUCAUCAUUACUUGCGAUGAGAGUGCCGGGGAAGAGGAAAGUCACAUCCCGAUUACCCCCAGGGUUCAGAGGGCACUACUGAAAGGUGUGAGCAGUGGAGGAACACGCGUUGCGUAUUAACAGAACUGGAAGAUUUGACCAAUGAUUUCGUUUUAGUUGGCAAAAAUACUCCAAGACGUGUAUACCCGAUGCACAAGGAAAACCACAGAAAGCCAACGUAACUGACGGAGUUCUCCAGUUACGAUUCUGAAACAUCUGUCCCCUGCAGGGUGCUGCCCAUUCUACAAGUCACUCUAGAGCAGCCAGCCAGCAACCCCUUGCCCACAGUUUCCAGUGUAUGUUCUGGUCUGCAAUUUGUAAGGUCACGCACCAGUGUGGAGAAAGCUCCGGCAGCGAAGUCAGAGGAAGUGCUUCUGGAGCUGGUUUGAGCAGCCCUGCCUUCUCCACCACCUCUCUCUCCGCUCCACGCGUGGCUCUCCUUUUAACUCAAAGAGCCCUUUGGCACCAUCAGUGCAAAAUUAAUAUUCGAGUUAAACCUCCAGGUACUAAAAUUUUACUGGCCUUCUAUUCAGCAGUACCCGUGGCUAAUGAGAGCCAUGGUUCAACUCAGUAGUGAUUCCGUUAGAUAACCUUCCUAGACUCUUGCCCCCGCUCCCAACCCACC
RNAcentral lists this long non-coding RNA (3080 nucleotides) under Canis lupus familiaris (dog). RNAcentral describes it as "lncRNA (ENSCAFG00845013796.1)". The record is from RNAcentral. Lineage: Eukaryota; Metazoa; Chordata; Mammalia; Carnivora; Canidae.